This 251-nucleotide ribosomal RNA is filed under the name uncultured prokaryote. RNAcentral's name for it is "partial 16S rRNA". The record is from RNAcentral.
GCGGAGGGUGCAAGCGUUGUUCCGAAUCACCGCGCGUCCCCCGCGCGCCGUCUCUUUCCCCCGCCACCCCCCAAAGCCCACGGCUUAACUGUGGAAGUCCAUUUGAAACUGUCAGACUUGAGUAUCAGAGGGGAAAGUGGAAUUCCCGGUGUAGAGGUGUAAUUCGUAGGUAUCGGGGGGGGGAGGUGGGGGGAGGGACGGGGGGGGGAGGAAGGGGGAAGAGGAGGAGAGAAAGAGGGGGGAGAAAAAAG